This is a non-coding RNA of Cydia amplana, 72 nucleotides long. The record is from the annotation of a RefSeq genome assembly. Lineage: Eukaryota; Metazoa; Arthropoda; Insecta; Lepidoptera; Tortricidae.
GUCUCGGUAGCUCAGUUGACAGAGCGAUGGGCUGGUGUUUCAGAGUCGCGAGUUCGAUUCUCGCCCGAGAUA